Long non-coding RNA from Monomorium pharaonis (pharaoh ant), 6481 nucleotides. RefSeq lists it as uncharacterized. NCBI's taxonomy places the organism in Eukaryota, Metazoa, Arthropoda, Insecta, Hymenoptera, Formicidae. The transcript has 2 exons. The record is from RefSeq and is a predicted model, not a curated record.
GACUACGGGGGGGGGUGUGAGCGAAGAAGAGGGGAAGACCGCCGCCGCUCGCUAGAACGGAGCGAACGGAUAAAUUAGAGAGUGUCGGAGAAAGACGGUAGGAGGGAGCACGCUGACGCGCGCGCGGAGCAAGGGAAGGAAGGUAGUUGAGGGGGGAGGAGAAGUUUAGCGGAGGGUAGCAGACGAGCGAGUGAGCGAGCGAGCGAGCGAGCGAGAGAGGAUGUUUAAGCUGCAAGUUGCCGGAAGGGGUGUCGGUGCGGUCGGAGUAGGUGGCGGGGCGGGGCCUACGGCUUGCCAGGGGUUGGCUUUCCGAAUUCCUCAUAGGAUGGAGGCGCGAUCGAUGACUCGCACCGCACACGACUACCCGCCGGGGUAACCCUCGCCACGGACCAAUCGCGUCGGUCGCACCGUCCUUAACUCGAAAGAUACUCGCCCUCGACGUUCCGCACCACGGGGUGGUUAUACGCGAGACGACGUGGACGUAGGGGUCUGCGAGCUAGAGGAGAGGGGGAGGAGGGAGAGGCAGAGAGAAGGGUAGCGAACGCUCGAAAUGGGGAAAGCACGGGGGUAAACGCGAUAAUGUGUGUGUGUGUAUGUGUGUGGGAGGGAGGGGGGUAACACACAACUCGGUGGCGGUGGCCGUGCCACGCCGUGUUACUUAUCCAUUAUAACACUCCAAGAUCUUGAUUUAAGCCUGCAGCCAGUGGUGAGCUUUUAACCAAUUAGCCUUUAUAGCCUACUCCCUCCGUCCUCCCGUUUCCCGCCGAUCUCUCUCCUCGCCAUCCUUCCAGCUCGCCUCGUCGGGUCUCUUUCCACCGUGGCGCGCGAUGGUAGCCACCACGUUGGUGUACCUACAUAUCCUAUACCAAUGUCCUCGUCCACAACCGCACGAUAUACCUACCUAAUUUACCGCCUCUCUUCAACCCUCCUGUUCCCUCCAGUUCUUUCUCUCUCUCUCUCUCUCUCUCUCCGUCUUUGCGCCUCCUUGUUACCUACGCGCAUUAUGCGCGUUGGUGUAUUAGCACGAUACAAGUACGUUAAACACGUACGCGCUACAAGAUGCGCGAUAGUAUUGGAUGCCCGUCGUCAAAUGGAUAGAAGAGUGUUCCUGUGGUGGCACUAGAUAUGCCGCCAAGGUGAAGCGAAUCAAGAGUGGACGCAAUCGAGGUACGGUAUGUGAGCAUCUUCUCUUCACUUCCUUUUCCGGCGGAUUACGUGUCACGUAUUGAUUCAAAGACGCAUCCUUCCAAUUUCCCGAGUCGCAUCAAAUGAUAACAGUGUCAUUCGGAGUUAUCCUCCGCUUGACGCAAUCACAUUGAGUAUAUUUUUUAUUUUACAACCAUCUGCUCGGAACGAUAUAAAUAAAUUAAAUAUUCAAAUGCGCGAUUAUCGUAGCUGCUUAAUAUCGUCUAAUUUGCUGAAACAGCACAUUGUUCUCGAAGGCUAAAUUGUAAAUAGUGACUGUUUUUAUGUUGAAAGAAAUAACAAAGCAUGUUUCUGAAAUAUAUAUUUUUUCCAUUCUUUAUAACUGUGCUAGGUAACAUUUUAUACACUUUAAUAAACUGAAUUAUCUUCCAGCAUAAAAUUUUUCUAAAAAUUUUCCACAAAAAAUCAAUAAAAUAUAAAAAACAGUAUUUUUAAAUUAUUUUCUAGCAGCUAGGAAAAAAUUUGGAAUUUUUGGAUAAUAAAGUUAAUAGAAAUUAUAAAAUAUCAUAUUACACUCUCUUUACAUAGAAGUACAAUUUCUUAUCUAAAUACAAUAAUUGUUCGAAACUUUAAAGAGAUAAAAAUUCUGUAAUGGGAUAUAUUUCUGUUGACUAUCACGUUAUGCGCGUCUAAAAAAGUCGUUAUAUCUCUUAAUCUAGUCCAUUGAGUUUUCUUCCUGUAAUCCACGAUGGUAAUUAGAGGAAGCAUUAUUUAAUCCCAUUUGGUUCAACUGGUUCGAUGUCGCCGAUAAACCGUAUCAAAAAAGCCACCUCUCUUUUCUGGGGCCAGAAGAUAAUUAAUACACAGGUAUAAGCAAGAUAUAAAAACGCGGUAAAAAACGUAAAGAGGCAGAGCGUGGCUAACGGCUCCAAGUCGGAUGGACGCAAAUGAGCGGCGCGCACGCCACGCAUAGCCACACCUCGCGGCUCGCGAGAAAGCGGAAAACCGCAAACGGCAACUCGAGCUCGCUCAAAGCUCGGAGAGCCCCGAGAGACUGUCGUGUCUGCCUGCAGGCGAGAAGGAAAAAAAUUGUUACUCGCCCGUGAGUUAAAAAGAAACGGUCAAACGCAAGCGACACUACGUCGUUUUGCGAUAUAUAAUAAGCAAGAACAAAGGCACUCCGUAAUACUCCUCUUUUCCUUACACUUCAUUCAUUAUGUAUUAUUCUUUGCAACAUUAUUAUAUUAAGAAUAAGUUAUCGGUAUAAUUUUACGAAUACAAAGAAAUCUUGAAGAAAUAGUGUUUUUAUAUUUAGAAAAAUCCCUUGCAAUAAAAAUAUCACAAUCGUAAAGUAAAAUCUAGAUAUAAGAUAGAAUAUAUUAAAAUGUAAAAAGCACUUUUCGAGGUAAUAUCAUCUUACGCAUUUUUGGGCUGAUUUUAUUAAAUAGUUCCUAUUAAUAUUGAAGCCCUAAUUGAAUACUAAAGCGAGUCAAGAAAAUUGUUAGCAAACAUCUCUCAUAUGGACUAGUUUAAACAUUAAAUACCAAUACAUUACUAAAAUAUAAUUUCUGUAUAAAUUGUAUUAUUAUUUAUAUCUAAUAGCGUUCGAUGCAGAUAUAUACAUGGACACGGCUUUGCAUAAAUCAGUGUAUGUUUCCGUACAAUAAACGCGCACUCGAUUCACGUUAUGACGGAUGGUCAUAUUCCAUUCACGCUCCAAUCACGAUUCGGUCAAAUAUCCUCUAAUGCGUUUGAAUUGCGCCAUACGCGUUCAAGUCACGAGAUAUGAUUUCAUAUAAUGGCAAUUUUUUAAAAACAUCGCGUGCGUUAACGUACACAUGUCCACUAUUAUUACCCAGAGAUUUUAAUUUUACACGCAAUAUUUUAUGUAAUUUACCAGCGUGUGAAUAAUCAACGAAAUAAAAAUUAAAAUAAUUCAAAGAUAAUCCAAUGUAACUGGAUCAAUACGCAUGUAUAAAUUUGAAAACGGUUUAUAUUUCUAAAAAUUAAUCAAACUAUACACUUUGAUCUAAUGCAAUCAUAUGCAUUUAUAAAAUAACACGUCGCUUUUCCUCUGUAAAUAUAAACGAGAUUGUAUCAAAAAGUGACACGUGUCGUUAUAGAUAAAUGCUUAACGGUAAUAUUUGUACUUGGAAAUUUUCCAAUUGUAUAAAACAACUUUCACAAUACUUUUGAGUAAAAAUAUUUAUACUAUGAAUUUUUUUAGAAUUAGCAAAAAACUCACGAUCAUUGAGAGAAAGCGAACAAUUUUGUGAAUUCUCGAUAUUUGGAAUUAGCAAGGUAAUUUUUAGCAUCGCCCUGGAUAAUCUAAUAGCCUAUGGGAAAUAGAAAAUGGAUAUUGUAUAAAGAGUAUUAGAUGAUCCGACCAAAUACGUGCGUUCCGUAGAAUCGGACUUUCGCCCGGUACACUUCGGUGCAUUGAAAAUGCAGAAGCGUCCGGAAUAUUUGCGGAAUAUGCGCGUAGCCGAUAGUCACAAUCGUUGCGGAUAGUGAAAUCCUAUUAUGCCGCAAGUAUCUGCCGUGUAUUCGGAGCUACUUCUUCAGACUAAGGGCACGGUUGAGAUUUUCAUUAACGGAAAUAGUCCUUGCGUGAAUUUUGCAUGAUAUAAUGUCUGUAAAUUCGAUAUAUUUGAUAUCUCUAAUGACUAUUGCGAACAACUUUGUUAAUUAAAGUGAAACCUAGUGAACUUUUGUGCACAGAUCUUCUCUUUCUCUUUUGCACCUUUAUCAAAUAAUUAAAUUUCAAGUGCAAUAUCUGAUUUUGAGUUGUUGUUUCCCCGAUAUUCACGAGGGUAAUAUUGACUGUUAGUGAAAGAUGGCUGUUAGUGUUAAAUAUAUAGCGAGAAAAGAUCACGGAACAAAAAGACCAUAACGUGCCACUAUAACGAGGUUACAUCGAGAGCUCUCUCCGAGAACAGAGAAUAGAGAACCGGCUCGUGUUUCAGAAGCGGUUGGAAGGAGAGAAAACGGAAAGGGGGGGGGGGGAGACGAACAGAGUGCUUGGGGGUUGGUGCUGGCGAUUGAAGUUUCGAGAUUCGGCUCAAAUUGGCAGCCGCUUAAGAGAUUUCGCGGACGGGCGGGUGUAGAGGCUGCAUAAUGCGACCGGGAGGUUUCCCGGCACGUCGAUCUCUCUCGUCGGCACCUCUCCUACGUGGAGUAUUUCGUAGAUGCCCCCCUUUUUCGUGCCUCUUUCCUUCCUUCUAGAUGUUUCUUCUCUCCCGUUUUUUUUCUUCUCUUCCGCAUUCGUGCCGAUGCGUAAUACUAGGGACGUCCACGGUCGAGUGCGCCGCUUGUGCCGCCUGUAUUUUACUUUGUGCCUGGUGCGUAAGAGGAUUAUAUCCUCUCUCUUUUCUGCUAAGAGGGAGAGGGUGCUCUUUUCUCUUUUCUCUCUCUCUCUCUCUCUCUCUCUCUCUCUCUCUCUCUCUCUGUCUUUCGGGAAAACGGACACGAGAACAGAUAGCGAAAGAAAAAGAUAGACGAGACGGGAGGUGAAAGAGAGGUAAGUGGUGGGUAUGCUUCACUUUUCACAGGGGCGUCUUUGUUCCCUAUUAUCCGAUGUGAUUAGUCGAUGAUGCAGGUAAGCUACCACGGGGGGUCCCCAUUAUGCUUCUGGUCGAACUACUCUCUCGCGAGUCGCGCGAGUCCCGACAUAGAAUUGCGAUCGGCCUGUUACUGAACCAAAGUACUACCCUCCGUUUCACUUUCCUUCUUCUCUGCAUCUUUUUCCCCGCGUCUCUUUUCUCUCUCCCUCCGACACUCUCUGUGUAUCUUCACGUUCCCUCUUGUUAUCUCCCUUCGAUGGCGAGGCGAGGUAUUCGAUAUUUCUUUUUUUUUCCUCGAGCCACUCGAUGUUUUACCUUUCUCUCUCUUUAUCGCGUACAGUACCGUCGCUUCGUAUUUUCCGUCCCGUUCUCUCUCUAUCUCUCUCUCUUUCGUCUCGUGUGCCCUUUUUCCCUAUCCUGUUCCAUCUCGGCCGGUUGUCGGCAAAUCGAGAGCCGCCGACCUGCUGUGAAAUUUAUACUCUUGCCGUACACCGCAACAAUGAUCGCAGCCUCCGCAUUUUAGCACGCCCGAUUUGUGUUAUCGUUCAGGAUUUCUUUCAUCCAGGGGAAUUUAUUUUGCGAAGUAAUUAGACCGUGCUCUUUCCCCCGUGUGCUAUUGUGUAUAAAGAGAUUAUAUGUGUAUGUACAAGGUGUAUCUUGGGUAUCGCGUGUUUCUUCUCGACUACAAAUUCUUUAGUAAAAUUAAUAUCAACUUUUUAAACUAAUUUUUCUUUCAAUGGCAUCUUUCUUUUAGACAUCUCGUAUUAUUAUGACAAUGUAAAAUAUUUUUUACACACUUUUAUUCACACAUUUAUUUAAAAUCACUCUUUUUCUUAUUUAAUAUAUAAAGGAAUGAGAUUUUAUCAUCUAUUUUUAUAUGUAAAAUUUAAUUAAUCGUAAAGAAUCUUUCAUAUUCAAUUACAUGUAAAUCUAUGUAUAUUGACAUUUCUGUUAAAAUUUUAUCAAAGGACUCUCAGUUAACAGAAAAUAUGUCUAGAAUAUAGUGAUCGCUGUGGGCAAAUGUGUGCGAGCCUGAGAGCGUUAUACGUAAUAUAAAUUUACUUUGGUUCAAAGAGUAUCAUUUAAUGUUCAUACGAUCCUUACACAUGCGGUAUAUAGUAUUAGUGUAUGUUAUACCUUUCAAGCGUUUAUACGGAUAUUUAUCUUCGAAUUAUGAUAUAUAUGUUUCAUCCUAUAAUAGAGUAUUUAUAAUUAAUUUUCACUCUUAAAGCAUUGGAUAUUAAUCCCAUUAAUUUGUAGCGACAGAUUCGAUGAGUUUCUCAACAUGGAAAACAGGAAAAUUAAAUUACUUCUGCUUAAGAGACAGCAUCGAGGAGUGGAAAUAUACUUACAGAUAGGAAGCGAUUAACGAGUGGCUACAGUUUAAAAGAUAGGCGGUAAUAAGAGAAGAAGAAGAAGGAGAAGAAGAGAAAUACAAUGGCGACAGGAGUAAACGAGAAGUUUGAAAGUCGUACGACGAGGCGUCAAGGAGAAAAGUAAACGCGAAUUAAAAGGAGCUGUACCAGAGGUUUGUUUCCAAGUAAACUUUGCUCGGACCGCCAAGCCGCAAUACGUUUUCCGCUAUAUAAAAUAUGCUCAUGCGAUCAAAGACGAAGGUAUCAAAAUUAACGACCGCGACUUGUAUCCCUGUAUUCUUUUAUGUAAAUUCUCUCAACGUAGAUCUAUAAACUUUUAUUUCUAUAAACACGUGAAAUUUAUAAAAUUAUGUCAGAAAAUUUACGGUUUAAUAAAUACUGUAACGUGUUAAGAUA